CGGGCGUUCCCGUGGGCGGAAGAGAGGAGCGCGGGGGGCCGGUAGUUUUUACUUUUACUGUCGGUAAGCGGAUUCGUCGUCCCUCCAGUGACCCCGGCCACGGCCCGGGAAAGCAGGCCGGAGUGGCCCGGCCGUCCGGCCCCGCGGAGUCACCGCGACGAGCCGAGUCCCCGUCGUUACUCCCGGUUCCCCUCGCUCACACCCUCCCUUCUCCCCACCGCCCUCUGACACUGUCCUUGCAAACCCCUGAAUGCAGCCUCCUCCGAGUCCUCUGCACCUGAACCUGAGAGGAGAGGCUUCCGGCCGGGAGGAAUGCACAUCCUGUAGGAUUUCAAUCCAUUCCGAGAUGUCCACGCUCAUUUUUAGUCAGAAUAUCGGGUCUCUUGGCCGAUGUCACACGUGCUCCUGUCACAUGUGCAUCCUGCUUUGUUUGGGUGCAGUGCUGUGUCCCGCAGGUGGGUAGGGUUGUUCACGUCUUGAGCCUUACUGAUUUUCUGCCUGCUUACUCUGUAAAUUGCCGAGCAGCGUAUUGAGAUCUCCAGCCACGAGUGCGGAUGUGUUUCCCUUUUCAGUUCUAUCAACUUGGGAUUCGUAUAUUUUGAAACCAUUAUCUGGUCUAUACCCAUUUGGGAUUAAUAUGGAAGCCAGCCAGUUAAUUAGAUUUUGUCCAUGUGGAUUUUGUCAUCCUAAGAAGUGUGAGGCCCCUGAAGGCAGGAAUUGUGUAUUUUAUGUCUGUAUUCUUUGACCUAGCACUUCUCUCCAGUGAACACAUGCUUAAUUUGGGAAGCCUAUCCUGCAGCAGGAAUUAUAACAGGUGCUGGGUAUACAGUGGGAAAAUAGCACGUAUUUCCCCAUUCUUGGGAAGCUUACAGCACAUCAGGGUUAUAAAUAAAUACAUAUACAUUUAAUAUAUAAAUAUUAGCUUAAUAUUUAUAUAUUUAAUAUUUAUAUAAUUUAAUGUAUAAAUAAUAUAUAUAUACAUAUAUAUGUGUGUAUAUGUGUAUAUAUAUAAACACACACACACACACACACACACACACACACACACACAUAUAUAUCUCCCCAUAUUCAGAACAAAAGUCUAUUAGUCUGGGUUCUCCAGAGAAACAAUAUAGAUAGGUAAGUCAUAUUAUAAAUGAUAUAUUUAUAUAUAUAAAUAUGUGGAAAUAUGUAUACACAUCUAGGUAUAACUAAUAUAUAAUAUAUACUACUACAUAAUAAAUAAUAAUAUAUAAACAGGAUAUAUGUAUCUAUUGUAGGGAACUGGCUCACACACUUACGGAGGCUGAGAAGUCCUGACAUCCUCAAUGAGCAGCAACCUGGACACCCGGGAGAGCCAUUGUUGCAAUUCAGUCUGAGUCCAAGUCCAAAGGCAGGAGAAGACGGAUGGCCCAGCUCGGAGGCAAUCAGGCAAGAGGAACCCCUUCUUACUCAAGGGAGAGUCAGCCUUUUGUUCUGUUCCGGCUUUGGAUGAGGCCUGUCCUCAUCAGGGAGGGUAAUCUGCUUCGUGAACUAAAAUGUUAAUCUUAUGGAGAAACGCCCUUAUAGAAACGCUCAGAACAAUGUUUGGCCAAACAUACGGGCACCCUGUGGACCAGUCAGGUUGACACAUAAGAUCAGCCAUCACAACUAAGACCGUCACGUGGGGCAGGAUAGCAGGGUGUUGGCGUGUCGUGGCCUUAGAAGCCAGGAAUGAAUCCCUGCUCCAUCACUUGCUACAUUGAAAUCCUGAAAGUGACCGAAUGUGCAUGUGCCUCGGUUUACUCAUUACAAAAGUGUGGUUAACAAGGAUACCCAUCUCUUAGGGAUCGGGUGAGAAUUGCUUGAAUUCGAACUUAGAAUAAUUGGGUUUUAAGUAUUUCAUGUAGAUAAUUAUUAAAUUCACAUGAAAACAGUUACAUGACUGUUGUAAUACUCUCUUCACACAGGAUAAAGUAUAACUGGCCAGACUUGAGCUUUCCCAUUUAUGGCCAGGUCUCUGAUAUGCCUCCCUGAGAUUUCACUCCACUGACUUUGAUCCCGAGAAGAGUCACACGUUUCUAGACACAGCUCUGUAGGAUAUGAGCAGCUAACCUUGUCUGUCAUGUAUGGGUUUUGUGUGCUUAACCUGACAGGAUAAUUCUUUUUCUUUGGGUUUUACGGGUUGGGUUGUUCAGUGGCCGUAUGAGUAGCAUGAACCAGAUGUAGAAAUUCAAGGGAGCAAAAGUCAUUAGUGGCUGGGUGACCUGUCUUUAGAUGACUAGUAGCUUAAUCAGAAAUUAUUUGACCUGAAACUGUCUGUCUGAGGAAUGUCCAAGGGAUUUUUUUUAAUGGAGUUAUUUUUGAAAAGGGACUCUAAGAGAGUUUACUCUGAAGUUCCAUAGCAACGAAAAGCCUUUUUGAGGUUAAUAAUCAUUUUUUUUUAAGGUUUUAUUUAUUUUUGAGACAGAGCAUGAGCAGGGGAGGCACAGAGAGAGAGGGAGACAGAGAAUCCGAAGCAGGCUCCAGGCUCUGAGCUGUCAGCACAGAGCCCGAUGUGGGGCUCCAACCCACAAGCUGUGAGAUCAUGACCUGAGCCAAAGUCCGAUGCUCAGCCGACUAAGCCACGUUAAUAAUCAUUCUUAUCUGAAAUCACAUCCAAUCUGUACACUGUAACUCUUUCCCAGGGUGCACUUGAUCUUGGCCAACUAGCUUUGGUUCAUCUACCAUGAAAAGGAUGCUAAACACUACUUUCACCUUAAAUUCUUAAAAAAAAAUAAAAGAAGUUAAAGUUAAAAAAUGAAAAACCUCUAUCCUAAGUCUUUCUAAAAUCUACGCUUCUCAAAAAUCAUGGAGCCUGGUCUUAAACUUUAUAGAGGAGUCUAGAUCUUUGAGACUGACUUACAUCGGCAUAGGAAAAAAUACGACACAUAAAUGUUGCUUUCCUAAGUGAGCAGGUUAAAACAUUGAAACACAUUACCAAUUCAUUCUCGUAAAUAAUUUAAAAUCAACUAAAAACUAAUUAACUGGAUUUUUUUAAGAAGGAAGAGGGGCACCUGAGGGGCUCAGUCAGUUAAGCAUCUGAUGCUUGAUUUUGGCUCAGGUCAUGAUCUCACGGUUCAUGAGUUCGAGCCUGCAUUGGGCUCAGCUCUGAAAGUGCAGAGCCUGCUUGGGAUUCUCUCUCUCUCUCCCUCUCUCUGCCGCUACCCUGCUCGCACUCUCUCUCUCUCUCUCUCUCAAAAUAAGUGAGUAAACUUAAAAAACAUUUUUAAAAAAGGAGGAAAGUUAUGGCGCAGACCCUGAAGUCAGACUCUCAGGCCCAGGAUGUACUAUUUACUAAGUUCUGUCAGCCUCCCUGAGUGUCAUUUUAUUCCCAUGGAAUCUGAAAAAAUACAGUGUAUACUUCACAAGGUGUGGUGUAGUGACGAGGAAUAAAAAAAAAAAAUACAGUAUACAAAUGACUUAUCGUAAGAAACAGAGCAAGUACAUUUACAAGUGUUUCCUUUGUUUAUUUGCAAAACACCCUUUGUGUGGUACUUAUAAGGUCUAAGAUUAUAGUGAAUACAUAAAAAUUUUUAUGGGAAAUUUCUGUAGCUUUGGAUAAAGGUGCUAAGUCAAAUAGUCAAGAGAUGCCAGAAUUGAGUUUUGUAUCAGGAAUCUCAGGGGACUUUGUGAUGGAGACACAGUGGUGAUGUUGCAGAAUUAAAGUGAGGAGAGUGAACGAGGAAAUAUCUCAGGUUCCUCGCAUCUUCAAAAUUUGGAGUACAAUUCACCACCCACGGGGUUGUCCUAAUAGUUGCAAACCUUUCUCCUCUCUACAGCUUUGUCUGCAUUUUGACGAAUGGCCACUAGAGGGCAGGAGAACCAAACUGAAGCCCCCAGGCGGGUCUCCAAGAUUGGAACCGUGCCUAUUGGGGGGGAAUAUUCUCAACUAAUAGGGAACUUUUACCAUACACGUCUGUUUCCGAAGUAAAUAAAUCCAUCUCCACAAAGUCACCAAACAUUCCCAAGCUCGGGCGAAGCACAUUCUAAAUAGUCCUCUACUUGAUUUACAAUUUGUGAAUUUUUUUCUCUAUAUUUAUCUGUAAAUAACAGUAAGGCGAUUAUUUCUGAAAUGCUGUCUGUUAAAAAGUACAUGUUAACCCCAUGUUAUUGGCUCUUCUUAAAGAAAUACAAACUUCCAGUCAUAAAAUACAUGAUAAUAUUGUGAGAACGUUUGGUGACAGAUAAUGACUGUGCUUCAUCAUGGUGAACACUGAGGGAUGUGCAGGACCGUUGAGUCAGGUCGUACCCCUGAAACUAGUAUCACGCUGUAAGUUAACUAUGCUUCAAUGUAAAAAUCCCUCUUUCGGGGUGCCUGGGUGGCUCAGUCCGUUAGCCUCUGACUUCUACCCAGCUCAUGAUCUCACAGGUCAAGAGCUCAAGCCCCCUGUAGGGCUGUGUGCCUGGAGCCUGCUUGGGAGUCUGGGUCCCCCUCUCACUCUGCCCCUCCCCUUCUCCCGCUCUGUCUCUCUUUCUCUCUCAAAAAUAAACAUUAAAAACAUUUUCUUAAUAAAUUUUAAAAAAUAAAAAAU
RNAcentral lists this long non-coding RNA (4532 nucleotides) under Lynx pardinus (Iberian lynx). Lineage: Eukaryota; Metazoa; Chordata; Mammalia; Carnivora; Felidae. The record is from RNAcentral.